RNAcentral lists this ribosomal RNA (481 nucleotides) under Streptomyces malachitospinus. Its description in RNAcentral is "bacterial SSU rRNA". It matches the Rfam family "Bacterial small subunit ribosomal RNA", at positions 1 to 498 of the family's 1533-position model. Lineage: Bacteria; Bacillati; Actinomycetota; Actinomycetes; Kitasatosporales; Streptomycetaceae. The record is from RNAcentral.
CGCCGCUCGAGAGUUUGAUCCUGGCUCAGGACGAACGCUGGCGGCGUGCUUAACACAUGCAAGUCGAACGAUGAACCACUUCGGUGGGGAUUAGUGGCGAACGGGUGAGUAACACGUGGGCAAUCUGCCCUGCACUCUGGGACAAGCCCUGGAAACGGGGUCUAAUACCGGAUACUGAACCUUGCAGGCAUCUGUGAGGGUCGAAAGCUCCGGCGGUGCAGGAUGAGCCCGCGGCCUAUCAGCUAGUUGGUGAGGUAAUGGCUCACCAAGGCGACGACGGGUAGCCGGCCUGAGAGGGCGACCGGCCACACUGGGACUGAGACACGGCCCAGACUCCUACGGGAGGCAGCAGUGGGGAAUAUUGCACAAUGGGCGAAAGCCUGAUGCAGCGACGCCGCGUGAGGGAUGACGGCCUUCGGGUUGUAAACCUCUUUCAGCAGGGAAGAAGCGAAAGUGACGUACUGCAGACGACGGUCUAUUC